RNAcentral lists this ribosomal RNA (508 nucleotides) under uncultured bacterium. Its description in RNAcentral is "partial 16S ribosomal RNA". It matches the Rfam family "Bacterial small subunit ribosomal RNA", at positions 28 to 523 of the family's 1533-position model. The record is from RNAcentral.
GACGAACGCUGGCGGCGCGCUUAACACAUGCAAGUCGAGCGAGAACCAGUCCUUCGGGACUGGGGAAAGCGGCGAACGGGUGAGUAACACGUGAGUAAUCCACCCUCGGUACCGGAAUAGCCCGGGGAAACCCGGAUUAAUGCCGGAUGGCCCAUUUCCCUUGCGGGGGAACUGGAAAAGAUAGCUUCGGCCUUCGACCGAGGACGAGCUCGCGGCGGAUUAGCUUGUUGGCGGGGUAACGGCCCACCAAGGCGACGAUCCGUAGCUGGUCUGAGAGGACGAUCAGCCACACUGGGACUGAGACACGGCCCAGACUCCUACGGGAGGCAGCAGUGGGGAAUCUUGCGCAAUGGGCGAAAGCCUGACGCAGCGACGCCGCGUGAGGGAAGAAGGCCUUCGGGUUGUAAACCUCUUUCAGGAGGGACGAAGCCACUCGGGUUCAUAGCCCAGAGGAUGACGGUACCUCCAGAAGAAGCCCCGGCUAACUACGUGCCAGCAGCCGCGGUAA